UUUUUGGUAAAAGUAAAAAGUAGGGUCUGCCCAGUGAGUAAUUUUAACGGCCGCAAUAUUUGUGCGAAGGUAGCAUAAUCAUUUGUCUUUUAAUUGAUGACUGGAAUGAAUGGCUGGACGGGGAUAAGCUGUCUUAUGUAUAUAUAUUUGAAAUUUACUUUUAAGUAAAAAGGCUUAAAUAUUUUAGAGGGACGAGAAGACCCUAUUGAGUUUAAUAGAAUUUAUUUAAAYUUUUCUUAAAUUUWUAUGUAAUCUAUUUAGUUGGGGAGAUUUGAUAUUAUUAACUAUAUAAGAAUUAAUAGACUUCAAGUUUUUAGGAUCCAUAUUUUAUGAGUGUUAAGGUAAAUUACCUUAGGGAUAACAGCGUAAUAUUUUUUUAGAGUUCAAAUCGAUUAAAAUGAUUACGACCUCGAUGUUGGAUUAAGGAACCUAAUUUGGAGAAGAUUUUAAUUUACGUAGUCU
This 462-nucleotide ribosomal RNA is filed under the name Nymphon australe. Its description in RNAcentral is "partial 16S ribosomal RNA". The record is from RNAcentral. Lineage: Eukaryota; Metazoa; Arthropoda; Pycnogonida; Pantopoda; Nymphonidae.